Columba livia (rock pigeon) is the source of this 1455-nucleotide long non-coding RNA. RefSeq lists it as uncharacterized. The transcript is spliced from 2 exons. NCBI's taxonomy places the organism in Eukaryota, Metazoa, Chordata, Aves, Columbiformes, Columbidae. The record is from RefSeq and is a predicted model, not a curated record.
UAGAGGGAAAAUCUCCGCAGCGGGGCAGCGGAGCGAGCGGCGGAGGUUGCGCGGGCGCGGCUGGAGCGGUAGCGGCCCCGACCUGCGCGGGCUGCGCUUCUCCCGGCUUUGCUUUUUUUUUUCUGUUUGUUUUUUUUCCUGUAGCUUAGAUGAAAAUGGCUCCCAGUGACUUGGCGAACGUUUGGAAGGCAGACAUGGCAGGGCUGUGCCGGAGGAAGGGGACGUGCGACGCCCAUCACCGCAGCCUCUGCUCGCAGAACGGGCAGAAAUCGGGCAAAACCGGGCAGAAACCGCCUGGCAGCGAACUGGGCGAGUGAAAAUGGUGCCGCGGACAGGCGGACGCUGCGGCGGACACUGCGCUCCCGCUUAGGGAUUUAUUUUCUUUUCUUUUUUUAAUUGUCAUGCCACAGAUCUGCAACUGUACGUGCAAAUAAAAGCGAGAGCUCACGGAUACCGCUUUCCUUACCAGCGAGGACUGAGUAGUUAAUCCAAUAAGUAUCUGUAUUGUUUGGGGAGGGGGGUGGUGGGGGGGGUGGUGGGGAGGCAGUUAAUCACGUAUUGCAAUGUAUGGCUAAUAUAUAUUAAUAUUAAAGUGACGUGGAGAAGGAGUCUCGGCGAGGGGGCUCCUUUUGGGGAGAGGACAAAGAAGAAACUGGAAACAAUCUUUUAAAAUAUUUUCCAUUCAUAAAAAUGGCAGAGGGCUUAUACAGCAGUCUAUUUCUGCAUCUGACUGAACAGCUAAUACGUUAUUGCCAGCUUCAAAAGAUAAUUGUAGUGUCGGUAGAGACCUAAUAAUACAGUAGCACAUGUAAUUUUAAACAACACCUCAUUGUUUAUUGGGAUGUAACUUUCCCAAAGUUUAUUUGUAGCAUUAAGAGAUUUUUAAGUGCAGAACAAAUUGCAAAUGAGCAGCUGUGGGGUGAUGCACGUUUUGUGUGGCUACAAGAGUUUCUAUAUUUAGUGACAAUCUGAAUCUGAAGAGGAUUUAAAAAAAAAAACAGAAUAUCUGUAAGGAAAUGCUUAUUUCCUCCUGGAGGAGGAGGGAGCUGGGCUGGGGGAUCGCCAGGCUCAGCUUUUUCAUUUUCUGAAGGAGGGAUAAAUAGUCUGUGUGCGUUUCCCUGCGACCGUACGUACACCUGCUCCGUAGGCUCAGCAAUAACCUUUUCACCGAAAAAGUGAGCGAAAGGGUCGGGCAUACGUACGUGGGGCGGUGUCGUGAUUUAUGUGUUUUUCCAGGAAUCCAAAUAAAAACGUAGCUGAGCGUGUCUCUUUGUAAGGGCCACCUGCGCAUCACGCCCGGCUGUGCCGGGGGUUUACCCUAUGGAAAUCAGCCCAGUAUAGACCUUAACACAACAGUGGGGUGAGCAGAGGAUGUUCUCACCUUCUCCCUGCUGCUAAGAGAGGAGAGCAGGGAUUGUGACAGGCAGCCCAAAUGGAUUUCAUAUAUUUUUUUUU